GACGAACACUGGCGGCGUGCUUAACACAUGCAAGUCGAACGGAAAGGCCCUGCUUGCCGGGUACUCGAGUGGCGAACGGGUGAGUAACACGUGGGUGAUCUGCCCUGCACUUCGGGAUAAGCCUGGGAAACUGGGUCUAAUACCGGAUAGGAGCCAUUUUUAGUGUGAUGGUUGGAAAGUUUUUUCGGUGUAGGAUGAGCUCGCGGCCUAUCAGCUUGUUGGUGGGGUAAUGGCCUACCAAGGCGGCGACGGGUAGCCGGCCUGAGAGGGUGGACGGCCACAUUGGGACUGAGAUACGGCCCAGACUCCUACGGGAGGCAGCAGUGGGGAAUAUUGCACAAUGGGCGCAAGCCUGAUGCAGCGACGCCGCGUGGGGGAUGACGGCCUUCGGGUUGUAAACUCCUUUCGCUAGGGACGAAGCUUUUUGUGACGGUACCUAGAUAAGAAGCACCGGCUAACUACGUG
RNAcentral lists this ribosomal RNA (465 nucleotides) under uncultured bacterium. RNAcentral describes it as "partial 16S ribosomal RNA". It matches the Rfam family "Bacterial small subunit ribosomal RNA", at positions 28 to 507 of the family's 1533-position model. The record is from RNAcentral.